UCACAGCUCACUGCAGUCUUGAAAUCCUGGGCUAAAACAAUCCUCCCACCUCAGCCUCCAACAUGGCUAGAAUUACAGGUGUGAACCACCACACUCUGCCAGAUACUUUUUCACUGGAAAGAAUAUAGAAACAAAAACUAGAAACAAAAUAUUCCAAGCCUUUUGCAAGAGAGGAGUCUCUAGGAUGGGACUGUGUCUGGAGCUGGUUCCUUCCAGUGGGUCCGUGGUCUCGCUGAUUUCAAGAAUGGAGCCACGGACCUUUGCGAGUCUCGCUCUGUCCAGUGGCACAAUCUCUGCUCACUGCAACCUCCACCUCCCUGUUCAAGCGAUUCUCAUGCGUCAGCCUUCCGAGUAGCUGGGACUACAGACACACAUAAGAUGUUACAGCUCUUUGAAGUCAUUCCCAUAGUCUUCUAAUGCAACAAGUCAUUGUCACUAAUUCAACUGAAAAGGUCUGCUUAACAUAAGGUUUGCAGCCAAGCGCGGCCACUCAUGCCUGUAAUCCCAGCACUUUGGGAGGCCGAGGCGGGCGGAUCAUGAGAUCAGGAGAUUGAGACCAUCCCGGCUAACACAGUGAAACCCCGUCUCUACUGAAAAUAGAAAAAAUUAACUGGGUGCGGUGGCGGGUGCCUGUAGUCCCAGUUACUUGGGAGGCUGAGGCAGGAGAAUGGCGUGAACCUGGGAGGUGGAGCUUGCAGUGAGCCAGGAUCGCGCCACUGCACUCCAGCCUGGGUGACAGAGCGAGACUCCAU
RNAcentral lists this long non-coding RNA (752 nucleotides) under Homo sapiens (human). RNAcentral's name for it is "HSALNT0325372". Lineage: Eukaryota; Metazoa; Chordata; Mammalia; Primates; Hominidae. The record is from RNAcentral.